UACAGAGGGUGCGAGCGUUGUCCGGAAUCACUGGGCGUAAAGGGCGCGUAGGUGGUGGCUUAAGCGUGCGGUGAAAGCUCGGGGCUCAACCCCGAGUCGGCCGUGCGAACUGGGCUCACUGGAGCAUAGUAGAGGCAGGUGGAAUUCCGGGGUGUAGCGGUGGAAUGCGUAGAGAUCCGGAAGAACACCGGUGGCGAAGGCG
RNAcentral lists this ribosomal RNA (202 nucleotides) under uncultured bacterium. Its description in RNAcentral is "partial 16S ribosomal RNA". It matches the Rfam family "Bacterial small subunit ribosomal RNA", at positions 524 to 723 of the family's 1533-position model. The record is from RNAcentral.